RNAcentral lists this ribosomal RNA (773 nucleotides) under marine metagenome. Its description in RNAcentral is "bacterial SSU rRNA". It matches the Rfam family "Bacterial small subunit ribosomal RNA", at positions 680 to 1465 of the family's 1533-position model. The record is from RNAcentral.
GGUGAAUUCGUAGAUAUUAGAAAGAAUACCAAUUGCGAAGGCAGCUUUCUGGAUCAUUACUGACACUGAGGAACGAAAGCAUGGGUAGCGAAGAGGAUUAGAUACCCUCGUAGUCCAUGCCGUAAACGAUGUGUGUUAGACGUUGGAAAUUUAUUUUCAGUGUCGCAGCGAAAGCAUUAAACACACCGCCUGGGGAGUACGACCGCAAGGUUAAAACUCAAAUGAAUUGACGGGGACCCGCACAAGUAGUGGAGCAUGUGGUUUAAUUCGAAGAUACGCGCAGAACCUUACCAACACUUGACAUGUUCGUCGCGACUUUAAGAGAUUAAAGUUUUCGGUUCGGCCGGACGAAACACAGGUGCUGCAUGGCUGUCGUCAGCUCGUGUCGUGAGAUGUUGGGUUAAGUCCCGCAACGAGCGCAACCCUCACUUUUAGUUGCCAUCAUUUAGUUGGGCACUCUGAAAGAACUGCCAGUGAUAAGCUGGAGGAAGGUGGGGAUGACGUCAAGUCCUCAUGGCCCUUACGUGUUGGGCUACACACGUGCUACAAUGGCAUUUACAAUAGGAAGCAAGAUGGCGACGUCAAGCAAAUCCUAAAAAAAUGCCUCAGUUCGGAUUGUACUCUGCAACUCGAGUACAUGAAGCUGGAAUUACUAGUAAUCGCGGAUCAGCGCGCCGCGGUGAAUACGUUCCCGGGUCUUGUACACACCGCCCGUCACACCAUGGGAGUUGGUUCUACCUUAAGGCAAGGUUUAAAACCCUUGACCACGGUAU